This is an RNA transcript of Nerophis ophidion (straightnose pipefish), 2850 nucleotides long. RefSeq lists it as uncharacterized. The transcript has 3 exons. The record is from RefSeq and is a predicted model, not a curated record. NCBI's taxonomy places the organism in Eukaryota, Metazoa, Chordata, Actinopteri, Syngnathiformes, Syngnathidae.
GCCUGCGCUCCACUCCAAAGCGUGCAUCUUGGAUAAAGGUGCUCGAGGACAGACGAGAGGGAAAUUCCAAGAAUUUUAUAAUUAGGAAUAUCCGCUUCAGAUUAUUACCGUCAGAUUGCGAAUGGAAGACGACAGCCGUGACCGGAUGGAGCGGUUGGUUGAGCUGCAGCAGCUCCACUGCUUCUGAAAGGGAGGGUGACAGCGACGGUAGAUCAUUGACGCUCACACCCGCAUGCAGGGCUGGAUCCAGCACCAAAACCGGCGCAGCAAUGCAGCGGGAUAGCGUGCAUUCUGGCUCCUCCCUGGAGUUGCUGUCUGGCCUCUAUCAGAUCCAUCAGCAGGGUCUCGUCUGACCCAUUGACCCACGUGUACACCAGAUCGAUGGGGAUGGGUGUGCAAUCUCUGCAGAUUCGUGGGCAACAAUCCACCACUCCAGGAACCCUUCCGCCCGUUGAGUGAGUCAAAAUCAAGGUCAUUGCCGACAUCGCCACAUCACCUGCCCCACUCGACCCCCUAGCAGCGCCUUUUGAGCCUGAGGCAUCGGAAGAAGAACGGGAGCAGGCAGAAGACUCACUGUUAGCCACUGAAGGGGGUGACGUGCUAGUAACCUCUCCCCCCAGGUCAUAGAAGAGCGAGACUUUAGUAACUUACACACAUAGUCUCACAGCCCAGAAGAAGACGCCGAGAGGGAUCAUCCCCCAUUGAGCGGCCGUCUGCCGUCAUGUAGAUCUACCAGACCUGCUCAACUGCUGUAUCAUACAUCCAAAGCUGUCAUAUAUACUUACUUGAGACCAGCUUAUGUACUUAUUGUUAUACAACUUCUCUUACUUGUUUUCAGCAUAACUAUCGUUGUCGCUGCAAUAAGUGAAAAGUUUGAUGUUGAUCCCCAUUUUGUUACCUAAAUUACUCUGAUUUUGAUAGACGGAAGGCAGGAUGUUACACCCAGCAGUAUUCCCUGACAGACUGGUACUUAGGCUUGUUCUAAUGUCCUUGUGCUUCAGUCCUUCCUUCCCGACGACAGUGACUGACAAGUGUCUUAGAACAUAUGGUGGACUUGAAAUAGACUGGAUCAAGGGGGACAGCAAGACUUACUUUUUUGACCUGUGCAGUGUGAUUGAUUGCGAGGGACAUAAUAACUAUUACCGUGGAACCAACCUCUAUCUUUGUUACGACUCCACCCUGAGAUAUUGGUGUCGGAAGCAGAAUACAUACUCUAGGGGGGGGUGCCCCUGGUGGAAGCAGGUAACCCACUACACAGGGCAUUGGAAUCCCACUAGCCCCUAUUAUUACAUCAAAACUAUUUGGGAAGCGAUGACCUUUCAGAGGAAUUUUGAUCGUUCCCAGAAUCCCCUCGCCUUACAAUUGCCAACGUGGGUGUCAUGCCCAAUUGGCCCAGUCCGUUUCAUGUUGUGUUAGGGGUUGACCUGACUGGUACAAAUUCUAAAUGGAUUAUUAAAAUUAACGUCCUUGAGAGGGCGUUAACUACCUCUGCCCCCUCUGUAGCACCUAAAGUGCCACUCCACCUCGGUGACGUUUCAAAGGCUCUCACAUCUGUAUAUACUAAUGACAUCACCACUGAAGACCUGGCAGCUUUGACCCUAGGAACGAGUGCAGGCAACCUGUGGCUCAGGUGGAUGACUAGCAUGGACAAGAGCCAAAACAUGGGUGAUUGUGUUUCUUGUUCCGCUGGACGUCCCUUUCCCCACACUUACCCCACCCCUUUUAGGUUGACUGACGCAAAUUGCUAAAACUGUCUUAUCUCCUUGUUUUCUGAGCCCACGCCGCCAGGGUGCGGUCUGUUGGCUAGUGUGUACCCUCCUGUUGACAAUUCCACCCAAUGUGGCCCAAAAGCUGAAUUACACGUGUUUUCAAUUUUCCGGGGCCCUCUAUUAUUAGUAUUGUGGGGAGUACAGAUUGUACAUUAGAAUCUCGAUGUCAGCCGUUGGGCUUUGUGCUAUGCUCAGACUGGUGACCGCAUCCUAGCCAAGGAAGAAGGUGUGUGUGCAAUGUUUGGUAACCAAUGCUGUACCUUCAUUCCUAACAACACCCCCGAUGGCUCAGUCUAGAGGGCCUUAGAGGGCCUCCAAGCCCUGUCUAAGGACCUUAGUGAAUUGUCCGGAGUCUCUGACCCCUUCAAAGAUUGGCUUUAAGGCACCUUUGGCAGGUGGACUGACCUAAUUAGGUCUGUCCUGGUCUCCUUUGCAGUUUUCUUGGCCACUCUAGCCUCAUGCGGUUGCUUUAUCGCACCUUGUGCUAGGUCUCUAUGCACCCGCAUCAUUGUUAGAGCUGUAGAAGGUCAACCCCACCCUGUUUCUGGGUUUGCUAUGUCUCUGAAGGGGGUCAAGCAAAGUGAUGACUUUCGAGAAUUGCUAGUUUCCCUCGCUGACCAUGACGACUUUGACAUGGACUCCCUCCAUCCAUCUCCCAUGUAACUAGGCUUUUAUUUUAGUGCGAGCAUGCUAAAACUUUAAUGUGGGGCAGGUGCUUUAGAAGUUUUAUAAUUGUGUUAGAGAUCUUUUGUAGAAGAUCUGAAGGUGGAUUGACAGCGAUAGAUAUCUUUUUAAAUCCUAGUCAUUUUUGAAAACAGCUAAGUGUUGGGCAUGCGUAUACCUUGAAGCUUGGAAUGUAACUAGCAGCCAUAACACCCUUCUUAUCUCAAAUUUCCCAGGCCUAGAAGGAGAAUAGAUAUGUGGAUUCACUCUGGAGGGGAAGGGGAGAAGGGGCAAUUGAAAUAGUGUAAAAGGCAGGACUUCCGUAGUAUUAGCAGAUCAACUAGGGCAAUGCGAUUUGAAUGUGUUGUGCAUAAAUUUGGUCUCCCAAAGCUUUGGAAUAAAGGUCAAAAUAAGCUAA